GGAGGGUGCAAGCGUUAUCCGGAUUCACUGGGUUUAAAGGGUGCGUAGGUGGGUUGGUAAGUCCGUGGUGAAAUCCCCGAGCUUAACUUGGGAACUGCCAUGGAUACUAUCAGCCUUGAAUGUCGUGGAGAUGAGCGGAAUAUGUCAUGUAGCGGUGAAAUGCUUAGAUAUGACAUAGAACACCAAUUGCGAAGGCAGCUCGUUACGCGAAUAUUGACACUGAUGCACGAAAGCGUGGGGAUCAAACAGGAUUAGAUACCCUGGUAGUCCACGCCCUAAACGAUGGAUACUCGACAUACGCGAUACACUGUGUGUGUCUGAGSGAAAGCAUUAAGUAUCCCACCUGGGAAGUACGAU
RNAcentral lists this ribosomal RNA (357 nucleotides) under uncultured bacterium. RNAcentral describes it as "bacterial SSU rRNA". It matches the Rfam family "Bacterial small subunit ribosomal RNA", at positions 527 to 886 of the family's 1533-position model. The record is from RNAcentral.